AUGAAGUGGCUGUGGAAAUGUGUUUGAGUAGACUGCUUCUAUUCUUAUCAUCUAUUAUGAUUAUAUUGGAAGUGGUAGGUUCUCCCUUAAAGUGUUUUUGGCAUAUCAUACAAUAAAUAACAUGGAGCUGGAUUCAGCAGAGGUCCAAAGUUCCAGUUCUCGCACAUUUGGAAAUCUAGGAUGUUGCUUGCCCUUUUUAAUGUAUUAAAGUACCUGCUUGCAAUUUCCACUAUUUGAAGGUUCUUUUUUCCCAGCUUGAGAAAGUAGGUCUUCAUGGGUUUUGUGGUUAGAGGUAGCGAAAGGGAUUCAGUAGACAGCAGCACUAGAACUAAUAUUGCGAUCUACAUAGAAGAAUGAGGCAAUGGCAGUAGGAGAAAUCCAUUAUGUACUCACAAGAGUUAGUGGAGAGAUGCUUCGUAGUUUCUGUUUUGUCCUCUCAAUAGGUCACUUGUGUCCAUCUGAGAUUGCUUUUUACAUUCUGACAGAUGCUUCUCUGUUCACAGAUGCAGGAUAAGCUGUCAGAUUCAAAUAAUUGAGCAGGGGAGCUAAUAAAGCAGCUUCCUCUUGUUGGCUAGGUAUGCAGAUAUACUUGUGAUCUUUCCAAAUCUUGUGCUUACAUAAUCUGUUAUAAAGGAGGAUUUUUUUUCCUUGAUGCUAUGCCUUGCAGUUUACUAAAGUGUACAUUACAUGCCUGUACUGAAGUUCUUUAAUAACAAGGUCAUGUUGAAUGUUACACCAUGUAAGAAGGUUGGGCGAAUCUGAACACCACGAAAAAUUGAGAACAGCGUUAUGUCAAAAGAAGCAUGUUGAGGGUUAUUCUCCGAUAUACCAAAUGCAUAAUGUUUGGAGAGAAACCAGGUUAAGGCAGAUGUUAAUUGUCACCCUCCUUUGUUACUAUUAUUGAUCUUUUGGCUCAAUAUUCUGGCCAUGUAUUUCCAUUUUUCUUUGUUAUGUUGAAUAAAAUAAAGUUUUCCCCCUCAUUUACCACCCCUGAUACUAUUUAUAAUCCACUUGUGUAUUUUUCAUUUUAUGAUGUUCCAUAUAUUCUCUUGUUUUCUU
This 1059-nucleotide long non-coding RNA is filed under the name Panax ginseng (ginseng). RNAcentral's name for it is "long non-coding RNA (PGIN_LNC003002)". The record is from RNAcentral. Lineage: Eukaryota; Viridiplantae; Streptophyta; Magnoliopsida; Apiales; Araliaceae.